GGCUUGGUGGUCUAGUGGUAUGAUUCUCGCUUUGGGUAGUCAAAUCGACUUAAGCCUGCGAGAGGUCCCGGGUUCAAUCCCCGGCCAAGCCC
Molecule: transfer RNA, 92 nt
Filed under: Fusarium piperis
Lineage: Eukaryota; Fungi; Ascomycota; Sordariomycetes; Hypocreales; Nectriaceae
Description: tRNA-Pro
Rfam family: tRNA
About the family: Transfer RNA (tRNA) molecules are approximately 80 nucleotides in length.
Source: RNAcentral